GAUGAAGAACGCAGCGAAACGCGAUAGUUAAUGUGAAUUGCAGAAUUCAGUGAAUCAUCGAGUCUUUGAACGCACAUUGCGCCCCCUGGUAUUCCGGGGGGCAUGCCUGUCCGAGCGUCAUUGCUGCCCUCAAGCACGGCUUGUGUGUUGGGCCUCCGCCCCCCGGCUCCCGGGGGGCGGGCCCGAAAGGCAGCGGCGGCACCGCGUCCGGUCCUCGAGCGUAUGGGGCUUCGUCACCCGCUCCGUAGGCCCGGCCGGCGCCCGCCGGCGACCCCCCUCAAUCUUUCCAGGUUGACCUCGGAUCAGGUAGGGAUACCCGCUGAACUUAAGCAUAUCAAUAAGCGGAGGA
This 349-nucleotide unclassified non-coding RNA is filed under the name soil metagenome. RNAcentral describes it as "partial contains 5.8S ribosomal RNA, internal transcribed spacer 2, and large subunit ribosomal RNA". The stretch from base 1 to 120 matches the Rfam family "5.8S ribosomal RNA", at positions 35 to 154 of the family's 154-position model. The record is from RNAcentral.